UACAUACAUAAAAUUACUAAAGUGCAACUCAAAUGAGGAGUUAGCUUAGAUUUCAAACAUUCAUAAUUAAAUCAAUUAUACUUAAGAUAAAACAUUUAUCAAUAAUCUUGAAUAUUAGUACAAUAACUAUCCCUUUACAAUUUCUAUGUCCAACUAAACAUAACAUACAUAGAGAAAUUCUACAACUAUUCCUACUGCUUGUUCUCCAAAGAACUUUUCUAUUUCUAUGCUCUUGCAUUUGGAGUUAAAGGAAAGGGGUAAGCUUACACAUGCUCAAUAAGUAAACUAACCAAAAUAAAUUAAUUAUAUCAUUCAUUUGAUACAUAUGCAAUGCAUCAUCCAA
Molecule: unclassified non-coding RNA, 343 nt
Filed under: Hevea brasiliensis (rubber tree)
Lineage: Eukaryota; Viridiplantae; Streptophyta; Magnoliopsida; Malpighiales; Euphorbiaceae
Source: RNAcentral